AAAACGGCGCUUUUCAGCGCCGUCCAAAAUCAGGGAAACGAUUUUU
Molecule: non-coding RNA, 46 nt
Filed under: Alteromonas sp. 38
Lineage: Bacteria; Pseudomonadati; Pseudomonadota; Gammaproteobacteria; Alteromonadales; Alteromonadaceae
Also listed under: 1 other name
Description: Histone3
Rfam family: Histone 3' UTR stem-loop
About the family: The mRNAs of metazoan histone genes lack a poly-A tail.
Source: RNAcentral